RNAcentral lists this unclassified non-coding RNA (354 nucleotides) under soil metagenome. RNAcentral describes it as "partial contains 5.8S ribosomal RNA, internal transcribed spacer 2, and large subunit ribosomal RNA". The stretch from base 1 to 119 matches the Rfam family "5.8S ribosomal RNA", at positions 35 to 154 of the family's 154-position model. The record is from RNAcentral.
GAUGAAGAACGCAGCGAAAUGCGAUAAGUAAUGCGAAUUGCAGAAUCCGUGAGUCAUCGAAUCUUUGAACGCACAUUGCGCCCAUUAGUAUUCUAGUGGGCAUGCCUGUUCGAGCGUCAUUAAGUCCACUUAAGCCCUGCUUAGUGUUGGGAGACUGCUCCAGCGGUGCUACCCUGUAGCUACCCUGCAGCUCCUCAAAGACAGCGGCGGAGUUGUGGUAUCCUCUGAGCUUAGUAACUUGUUCUAGCUUUCGAGUACACCACUUCCCCUGCCGUAAAACCCUUAAUUUUUAAUGGUUGACCUCGGAUCAGGUAGGAAUACCCGCUGAACUUAAGCAUAUCAAUAAGCGGAGGA